GAUGAACGCUGGCGGCGUGCCUAAUACAUGCAAGUCGAGCGAACAGGCGAGGAGCUUGCUCCUCUGACGUUAGCGGCGGACGGGUGAGUAACACGUGGAUAACCUACCUAUAAGACUGGGAUAACUUCGGGAAACCGGAGCUAAUACCGGAUAAUAUAUUGAACCGCAUGGUUCAAUAGUGAAAGACGGUUUUGCUGUCACUUAUAGAUGGAUCCGCGCCGCAUUAGCUAGUUGGUAAGGUAACGGCUUACCAAGGCAACGAUGCGUAGCCGACCUGAGAGGGUGAUCGGCCACACUGGAACUGAGACACGGUCCAGACUCCUACGGGAGGCAGCAGUAGGGAAUCUUCCGCAAUGGGCGAAAGCCUGACGGAGCGACGCCGCGUGAGUGAUGAAGGUCUUCGGAUCGUAAAACUCUGUUAUUAGGGAAGAACAAAUGUGUAAGUAACUAUGCACGUCUUGACGGUACCUAAUCAGAAAGCCACGGCUAACUACGUG
Molecule: ribosomal RNA, 497 nt
Filed under: uncultured bacterium
Lineage: Bacteria
Description: partial 16S ribosomal RNA
Rfam family: Bacterial small subunit ribosomal RNA
Source: RNAcentral